GACGAACGCUGGCGGCGUGCCUCACACAUGCAAGUCGAACGGGGAUAUAUUGAAAGCUUGCUUUUGAUAUAUCCUAGUGGCGAACGGGUGAGUAACACGUGAGCAACCUGCCCGACAAACCGGGAUAACAGCGGGAAACUGCUGCUAAUACCGGAUACACCAGGUAUGGCGCAUGCUGUAUCUGGGAAAGGGUUUACCGAUGUCGGAUGGGCUCGCGUCCCAUUAGCUAGUUGGUGAGGUAACGGCUCACCAAGGCGACGAUGGGUAGCUGGUCUGAGAGGACGAUCAGCCACACUGGAACUGAGACACGGUCCAGACUCCUACGGGAGGCAGCAGUGGGGAAUCUUGCACAAUGGGCGAAAGCCUGAUGCAGCGACGCCGCGUGGAGGAUGAAGGCCUUCGGGUCGUAAACUCCUGUCUGGGGGGAUGAACACUGACAGUACCCCCGGAGGAAGCCCCGGCUAACUACGUG
Molecule: ribosomal RNA, 472 nt
Filed under: uncultured organism
Description: bacterial SSU rRNA
Rfam family: Bacterial small subunit ribosomal RNA
Source: RNAcentral